CAGCAGCCGCGGGAACACGGAGGGGGCUAGCGUUGUUCGGAAUUACUGGGCGUAAAGCGUGCGUAGGUGGUGGUUUAAGUCCGUUGUGAAAGCCCUGGGCUCAACCUGGGAAUUGCAGUGGAUACUGGGUCACUAGAGUGUGGUAGAGGAUAGUGGAAUUUCCGGUGUAGCAGUGAAAUGCGUAGAGAUCGGAAGGAACAUCUGUGGCGAAGGCGACUAUCUGGGCCAACACUGACACUGAGGCACGAAAGCGUGGGGAGCAAACAGGAUUAGAUACCCCUGUAGUCCCUGUCUCUUAUAC
Molecule: ribosomal RNA, 301 nt
Filed under: uncultured bacterium
Lineage: Bacteria
Description: partial 16S ribosomal RNA
Rfam family: Bacterial small subunit ribosomal RNA
Source: RNAcentral